AAAGUAGCAAUACUUUUGGUGGCGACCGGCGCACGGGUGAGUAACGCGUAUGCAACCCAUUUAUCAGAGGGGAAUAACCCGGCGAAAGUCGGACUAAUACCGCAUAAAACAGGGGCACCGCAUGGUGAUAUUUGUUAAAGAAAUUCGCUGAUAGAUGGGCAUGCGUUCCAUUAGGUAGUUGGUGAGGUAACGGCUCACCAAGCCGACGAUGGAUAGGGGAACUGAGAGGUUGGUCCCCCACACUGGUACUGAGACACGGACCAGACUCCUACGGGAGGCAGCAGUGAGGAAUAUUGGUCAAUGGGCGAGAGCCUGAACCAGCCAAGUCGCGUGAAGGAAGAAGGAUCUAUGGUUCGUAAACUUCUUUUGCAGGGGAAUAAAGUGCAGGACGUGUCCUGUUUUGUAUGUACCCUGAGAAUAAGGAUCGGCUAACUCCGUGCCAGCAGCCGCGGUAAUACGGAGGAUCCGAGCGUUAUCCGGAUUUAUUGGGUUUAAAGGGUGCGUAGGUGGUUUGAUAAGUCAGCGGUGAAAGUUUGCAGCUUAACUGUAAAAAUGCCGUUGAAACUGUCGGACUUGAGUGUAAAUGAGGUAGGCGGAAUGCGUGGUGUAGCGGUGAAAUGCUUAGAUAUCACGAAGAACUCCGAUUG
RNAcentral lists this ribosomal RNA (647 nucleotides) under uncultured Porphyromonadaceae bacterium. RNAcentral describes it as "bacterial SSU rRNA". It matches the Rfam family "Bacterial small subunit ribosomal RNA", at positions 73 to 715 of the family's 1533-position model. The record is from RNAcentral. Lineage: Bacteria; Pseudomonadati; Bacteroidota; Bacteroidia; Bacteroidales; Porphyromonadaceae.